Molecule: small RNA, 105 nt
Filed under: Brochothrix thermosphacta
Lineage: Bacteria; Bacillati; Bacillota; Bacilli; Caryophanales; Listeriaceae
Description: Manganese sequence
Rfam family: Manganese Mn2+ riboswitch aptamer (yybP-ykoY)
About the family: This RNA was originally discovered in E. coli during a large scale screen and was named SraF. The family was later found to exist upstream of related families of protein genes in many bacteria, including the the yybP and ykoK genes in B. subtilis.
Source: RNAcentral
UUAUGUGUCAAAGGGGAGUAGCGUCGUUAUCUUUUAGAGAUAACGAGAUAAAGUCGUCAAUACAUGAAUUUAAUUCAUCGGUUUUAUCAACAUAUUUUUUAUGUC